Molecule: ribosomal RNA, 426 nt
Filed under: Calcinus argus
Lineage: Eukaryota; Metazoa; Arthropoda; Malacostraca; Decapoda; Diogenidae
Description: partial 16S ribosomal RNA
Rfam family: Bacterial large subunit ribosomal RNA
Source: RNAcentral
UGAAUUUUUAAAGGGCCGCGGUAUUCCUGACCGUGCGAAGGUAGCAUAAUCAUUAGUCUUUUAAUUUGAGGCUUGUAUGAAUGGUCGGACGAGGGAUAAACUGUUUCAAAUAAAAAACUCGAACUUAACUUUUAAGUGAAAAGGCUUAAAUACUUCAAAAAGACGAUAAGACCCUAUAAAUCUUAACAUUAAGUUCCGUGUUAUUCUAGCUUAUUAGUGUAAAGAAACUCACAGAAAAAAUGUUGUGUUGGGGCAACAAAGAUAUAUAAACUAACUGUCUUAUUAUUUAAACAAAAAUCGUUGAACUUCUAUAGAUCCUUUUUCAAGAUUUUAAGAUCAAGUUACUUUAGGGAUAACAGCGUUAUUCUUUUUAAGAGUCCUCAUCGAAAAAAGAGUUUGCGACCUCGAUGUUGAAUUAGAAGAUCU